Molecule: ribosomal RNA, 491 nt
Filed under: Clostridioides difficile
Lineage: Bacteria; Bacillati; Bacillota; Clostridia; Peptostreptococcales; Peptostreptococcaceae
Description: partial 23S ribosomal RNA
Rfam family: Bacterial large subunit ribosomal RNA
Source: RNAcentral
UGGAAGGGCCAUCGCUCAACGGAUAAAAGCUACCCUGGGGAUAACAGGCUUAUCUCCCCCAAGAGUCCACAUCGACGGGGAGGUUUGGCACCUCGAUGUCGGCUCAUCACAUCCUGGGGCUGUAGUAGGUCCCAAGGGUUGGGCUGUUCGCCCAUUAAAGUGGUACGCGAGCUGGGUUCAGAACGUCGUGAGACAGUUCGGUCCCUAUCCGUCGCAGGCGUAGGAAAUUUGAGAAGACCUGUCCUUAGUACGAGAGGACCGGGAUGGACGUACCUCUGGUGUACCAGUUGUUCUGCCAAGGGCAUGGCUGGGUAGCUAUGUACGGAAUGGAUAAGCGCUGAAAGCAUCUAAGCGCGAAGCCAACUUCAAGAUAAGAUUUCCCACCGCAAGGGUAAGACCCCAGAAAGACUAUCUGGUUGAUAGGUCGAAGGUGUAAGUGCAGCAAUGUAUUUAGCUUAUCGAUACUAAUAGGUCGAGGACUUGACCAAAUU